Vidua chalybeata is the source of this 1745-nucleotide long non-coding RNA. RefSeq lists it as uncharacterized. The transcript has 2 exons. The record is from RefSeq and is a predicted model, not a curated record. NCBI's taxonomy places the organism in Eukaryota, Metazoa, Chordata, Aves, Passeriformes, Viduidae.
CAGGAGGUGCUGAGCCCUCCUCUUCUCACCAUUCAGCUUGCUCAGGAGUGAUGGUGAGCUGUGUGCCCAGCACCCACCAGAAACACCUGCAGCACUCAAGAGCAAAGGCAAGCAAAACAAAUUACCCAAGGACAAUGCUGCCAAGUGGGCAACAGCUCAGGAGAAAGUGCCUGCAAUCCGCAUGCAGAGGCAGAAACUGAACAAGUGAGAAGGCUCUCAAUAAGCCUGCACAAGGGAAUUAGAGGAGGAGAAUCUCAACAAAUCUCCUGCCUAAUUUCAUCUCAAUCUCUGGAGAGUGCUGGGAUGGUGUCAUGGCUUAACCCCAGCCAGCAACCAAGACCUGUGCAGCCACUUGCUCACUCCCUCACCUGCAAGAACAGGGAGAGAAUUGGAAGGGGACAAGCUAGGAGACUUGUGGAUUGAGAUGAAGACAGUUUAACAGGACGAGCAAAAACCAUGCAGACAAGCAAAGGAAAACAAGGAAUUUAUUCACUACUUCCCACAGGUGUGGGCAGGCAGAAGUUCAGCCUUCUCCAGGAGAGCAGGGCCCCAUCACACAUAACAUUGACUUGGGAAGCCAAAUCACAUCACUCCAAAUGUCUCUCCCUUCCAUACUGAGCAUGAUGUUUUAUGCUUUGGAAUAUCCCUUUGGUCAGUUUGUGUCACCUGUCCCAGCUGUGUCUCCUCCCAGCCUGCCAUGUACACCCAGCCCCUCACCAGCAUGGCAGAAAAGGCCUUGGCUGUGUGUAAGCCCCACUUAGCAAUAACAAAAACAUCUCUCUAUUAUCAACCCUUUGCUCAGCACAAAUCCAAAACAGAGCCACUGUGAAGAAAGUGAACUCUACCCCAGCUGAAACUAGCACAGAUGGCUGCCCUGCCUUCGACACAGCCACUUUGUCCCUGAGCACUACUCAAUCAUCCCAUUGCAAACCUGGAGCAGGAGAAGACACUUCACUGUUGUGCAUCAAGUGUGUUAGGGACUAAAACAGAAAACCCAGAUGCUGUCACAGCUGCUGCCCCACUUUUCCUCACAGCUCUCACGCCUUUGCCCUUGCAUCAUGUCCCCCUUCACCAAUAGGCUUUGACCACUCUUUGGAACCCAACGUAACUGUUUCCAGAACUCGUGCUUACUGUAAGUCCACUUGCCAAAUUCCUUCCAUUUUGGCUGUGACUGGAGGAAACAAAACACCAGAUGACCAAGCCCCCUGACAACACAGCAUGGGAGCACCGGCCAGGAGCCCACAGCAGGACAGACAGUCUCUAAAGCAGCGCUUCAGCACCAGCACAGGUUCUCCAGCAGCAUAAGCAACUGCUGGUGAGAAAACAGGCAGCUCCAGUGCACCCACAGGACAUACAGGAGCAGCUGCGAAGGGGAGUUUUGCACAAUGCAUAAUCAGAGCACAAAGGAGAUUGAUCCUUGCGCUAGAACAUAGCCUGACAGUCCCCAGACCGUGAGCACAAUUUUGGCUUUUGUUGUCAGAGUUGUUUCAAGGGCUGACAGAGCAGCUCGAGUUGUGCUGGAUUGCCCUCUGCAGCCCACGGGGCGCAUCGUCCCCAGCGCGGGGCUGGCCUCACGCCGUGGCACGGUGCGCAAAAUCAAUCCCCGAGAAAAGGCUCUGCCAUCAUUUCAAUGACAUUUUCCCUCCUGGCUGUAACCAGAGAAAGCUGGUUUGCUUGUUUGUUUCCAGAUGGUUCUACCUGAUUACAAGGGGAGCUUGGCAAAAGAAAUUACCUUUUAAGAAACA